UACGUAGGGUGCAAGCGUUGUCCGGAAUUAUUGGGCGUAACGAGCUUGUAGGCGGUUUGUCGCGUCUGCUGUGAAAUUUCGGGGCUCAACCCCGAACUUGCAGUGGGUACGGGCAGACUAGAGUGUGGUAGGGGAGACUGGAAUUCCUGGUGUAGCGGUGAAAUGCGCAGAUAUCAGGAGGAACACCGAUGGCGAAGGCAGGUCUCUGGGCCAUAACUGACGCUGAGAAGCGAAAGCAUGGGGAGCGAACAGG
This 253-nucleotide ribosomal RNA is filed under the name uncultured bacterium. RNAcentral describes it as "partial 16S ribosomal RNA". It matches the Rfam family "Bacterial small subunit ribosomal RNA", at positions 524 to 776 of the family's 1533-position model. The record is from RNAcentral.